Molecule: long non-coding RNA, 1342 nt
Organism: Triticum urartu
Lineage: Eukaryota; Viridiplantae; Streptophyta; Magnoliopsida; Poales; Poaceae
Source: RefSeq, a predicted model, not a curated record
UAUGUACCACACGUCGCACACGAUGUUGACUGGACAGAGCCUCCGCAUGCCAGCCACGCACACCAUGCCCACGAGUCACAUACAGUCUGCACAGCCGCCACGAAUCCGACAUAGCCGCCGAUGCUGCUGGAAAAGAGGAUGACCCCGUCCCACCCAUCUGGCUCUCUCUCACAUCUCACCCACCCACCACAUCUCUCUCUUCUUGGAAUAAUGGCGGCUGUAGCAUCUUUCACUGCCUUGCCUCCUCCACCACUCCUCUCCCUUCUUCCUCCAUCUUCCUCCUCUACGUCCUCCCCUCCCUGCCACGAAACUCUCCCCCUCUCCCGCCUCCCUCUUCUAACAAUUCUCCCUGUCGCCGCAGGUUUUGCCACCAGGACUCCAUGAGAAGAUUGCGGCCGCGGGGUGUCCAGCCAGGGUGAGCACAGCAACAACACCGGCAGUGCCGCGCUGGGCCAUGUAGGGAGAGGUGAGGUCCGGUAGGUGCACAGUAGCAAGGAAAGCACAGCAACAGCAGCACUCCAUUUUCUCUUUCCUUUUUUUCUUGAUUAAUUGCUAGUUUCCUUUUUUCCUGAUUAAUUGCCAGCCUAUUCGCACCGUGACAGAUGGAGUAGUUUCCACUGAUGUCCCUCCUCCUUUCCUCGAUUUAAUUGUCAGAUGCAUUGAUCAGCAGGUUUUGUGGAGUUAAUUCUUUCUCAAGGCUUGUUGAAAGGCAAUUUGUAAACCUAUAUAAAUAGGUUGAAUUUGGUUUGCAGAAUCGGUGUGAGACUAUUAAGAAAACGAACCCGGCUGAAUAUAUGUAUCUCACUUGGAAGGUGCCUCUCUGCCAGAUCGUAGGUCAUGGGUUCGAACUCUGCUAUCUACUAUCUUUUGCUACUCGCUCGGUCCAGGACAGAUGAAAGUAAAAUAUUAGUAUGAUUAGUAUUCUUUUAAAUCUCAGCCGUCGAUCUUUGUGGUUAACAAAAAAUCAAUGGAUAUAAAGAGACGACAUAUGGAGAACUAUGAAAGCCUCCGUCUUUUAAUAUUAGGUAUAGAUUAUAUCACAAUACUUAUGUUGUUUCUUUCUUAUUUUAUAACGUUUACAUGAAGAGGGAGAAUGCCGGCAGCUGGAAUUCUCAGCUAGAAAAGGAUCAAAUAUUAGAGACCUAUUCUGCACAACUCCAACGAGAACUACCAUGGUGUUGUUUUUGUGCAGAAAUAAAAGUUCUCGGAAUGGAACAAAACUUUGCAAGGAUUUUUUAUAUCAAUAAAGAGAAUUUUUGGAGACAAGAGUCACCUGAGGGGGGCACCUGGUUGGGCACAACACACUAGGGCGCGCCUGCCCCCCCCCCCCAGGCGCGCCCAG